UACGUAGGGUGCAAGCGUUAAUCGGAAUUACUGGGCGUAAAGCGUGCGCAGGCGGUGAUGUAAGACAGGUGUGAAAUCCCCGGGCUUAACCUGGGAACUGCAUUUGUAACUGCAUCGCUGGAGUGCGGCAGAGGGGGAUGGAAUUCCGCGUGUAGCAGUGAAAUGCGUAGAUAUGCGGAGGAACACCGAUGGCGAAGGCAAUCCCCUGGGCCUGCACUGACGCUCAUGCACGAAAGCGUGGGGAGCAAACAGG
RNAcentral lists this ribosomal RNA (253 nucleotides) under uncultured bacterium. RNAcentral describes it as "partial 16S ribosomal RNA". It matches the Rfam family "Bacterial small subunit ribosomal RNA", at positions 524 to 776 of the family's 1533-position model. The record is from RNAcentral.